AGCUUUGCGCAGUGGCAGUAUUAUAGCCAAUGAUGUUUUAUCCAAGGUGUGUAUUGCUAAUUAAAAACUUUUCCCAGGCCA
This 81-nucleotide small nuclear RNA is filed under the name Cavia porcellus (domestic guinea pig). Its description in RNAcentral is "U4 spliceosomal RNA". It matches the Rfam family "U4 spliceosomal RNA", at positions 1 to 82 of the family's 138-position model. From Rfam's summary of the family: U4 small nuclear RNA (U4 snRNA) is a component of the major U2-dependent spliceosome. Lineage: Eukaryota; Metazoa; Chordata; Mammalia; Rodentia; Caviidae. The record is from Rfam by way of RNAcentral.